This 452-nucleotide ribosomal RNA is filed under the name uncultured Caulobacteraceae bacterium. RNAcentral describes it as "bacterial SSU rRNA". It matches the Rfam family "Bacterial small subunit ribosomal RNA", at positions 91 to 578 of the family's 1533-position model. The record is from RNAcentral. Lineage: Bacteria; Pseudomonadati; Pseudomonadota; Alphaproteobacteria; Caulobacterales; Caulobacteraceae.
GAGAGUGGCAGACGGGUGAGUAACGCGUGGGAAUCUACCUAGUUCUGCGGAACAACAGUUGGAAACGACUGCUAAUACCGCAUACGCCCUACGGGGGAAAGAUUUAUCGGAAUUAGAUGAGCCCGCGUAAGAUUAGCUAGUUGGUGAGGUAAAGGCUCACCAAGGCUACGAUCAGUAGCUGGUCUGAGAGGAUGACCAGCCACAUUGGGACUGAGACACGGCCCAAACUCCUACGGGAGGCAGCAGUGGGGAAUCUUGCGCAAUGGGCGAAAGCCUGACGCAGCCAUGCCGCGUGAAUGAUGAAGGUCUUAGGAUUGUAAAAUUCUUUCACCGGGGACGAUAAUGACGGUACCCGGAGAAGAAGCCCCGGCUAACUUCGUGCCAGCAGCCGCGGUAAUACGAAGGGGGCUAGCGUUGCUCGGAAUUACUGGGCGUAAAGGGAGCGUAGGCGG